AUGCCGUUCCUGGUGCCGCUGGUGCUGCGGGGCAUUCCGGCGAAUGCGUGGACUCGGCGCACGGCGGAGGUUCUUCUGCAUGGCCUGGGGGUGGUGGUCAAGGUCGGGGCAUCGACCGCGGAGCGGAGCGACAUGGCGGGGUUCCUGGUCUGGCUACGCACGGACGACCCAACUCGUGUCCCCUUCAGGCGGAUCCUUGCCGUCGAGGAGCCGAACAGGCGGAGCAGAGUUGCUGUGCAGGUGGAUGGUGGUUCUGAUGCCCUGUGGUACCCGAUUGGCAUUCGGCUGGUGGCUGAGCCGAUUCACCUUGGGCGGCAGGCCGGGACGCCAACGCCGCCGCCGUCGCCCCCUCCCCAGCCAUCUGCUGGCCACGGCGGCGGUGGCUCGCGCGCCGAUGACUUGGGCGGGCCUCCGCCGCCGCCGCCUUCGCCGCCUCGCCGGGCAGAUUCCUCGUCGGCGUCGGCCCCUUCGCCUGGCAGAAACCGGGCUGUUCAAACCCAGGGCGGCCAGCGGGCCAUUCAAACCCAGGCUGGUCAGCGUGAGCUGGCGGGAGAUGUCACGCCGCUAUCCGAGCGCAGGGAGGACCCUGAUCCUGUCGGUUGCCAGGGUACGUAA
RNAcentral lists this ribosomal RNA (615 nucleotides) under Triticum aestivum (bread wheat). RNAcentral's name for it is "partial small subunit ribosomal RNA". Lineage: Eukaryota; Viridiplantae; Streptophyta; Magnoliopsida; Poales; Poaceae. The record is from RNAcentral.